AAGUCGUAACAAGGUUUCCGUAGGUGAACCUGCGGAAGGAUCAUUAUUGAAAUAAACCUCAACAGGUUGUUGCUGGUCUUUCCUAGACAUUGUGCACGCUUGUUGUUUUAUUUUUCCAACUGUGCACAUAUUGUAGACCUGGAGCUCUCUUUAUUGUUCGGAUAGAUUGAGGACUGCCAUGAUUGGCUUUGCCUUGCAUUUCCAGGUCUAUGUUACAUUUUCACAUCGUGUUUCAGAAUGCUUGGAGAUACAAAAAUAUAUAUACAACUUUCAGCAACGGAUCUCUUGGCUCUCGCAUCGAUGAAGAACGCAGCGAAAUGCGAUAAGUAAUGUGAAUUGCAGAAUUCAGUGAAUCAUCGAAUCUUUGAACGCAUCUUGCGCUCCUUGGUAUUCCGAGGAGCAUGCCUGUUUGAGUGUCAUCAAGUUUUCAACCGCACCAGGUUUAUUCUGGUGUGGCUUGGAUUUGGGGGUUUUUUUUGCAGGCUUCCAAGUCGGCUCCCCUGAAAAGCAUUAGUGGUAUCUGAGCAGAAAGACCACCUUGAGCAUGAUAAAUAUCUAUGCCACUGGUGUGUGUCUGAUGCAAGCUGCUUUCCAACCCUUGCGCAUUUGACAAAUUUGACCUCAAAUCAGGUAGGACUACCCGCUGAACUUAA
RNAcentral lists this ribosomal RNA (653 nucleotides) under uncultured Inocybe. RNAcentral describes it as "eukaryotic LSU rRNA". The stretch from base 266 to 419 matches the Rfam family "5.8S ribosomal RNA". Lineage: Eukaryota; Fungi; Basidiomycota; Agaricomycetes; Agaricales; Cortinariaceae. The record is from RNAcentral.